UAACACAUGCAAGUCGAGCGAGAAAGUUCCUUCGGGAGCAAGUAAGCGGCGGACGGUGAGUAACGCGUGAGAAUUUACCCUUUAGUGAGGAAUACCUCUGAGAAAUCAGGGCUAAUACUGCAUAAGUCCCUACGGGGAGAAAGGUGGCCUAUUUGCUGCCGCUAAAGGAUAAGCUUGCGGGUUAUUAGCUAGUUGGUGAGGUAAAGGCUCACCAAGGCGAUGAUGGCUAGCCGGCCUGAGAGGGUGUACGGCCACACUGGAACUUAGACACGGUCCAGACUCCUACGGGAGGCAGCAGUGGGGAAUAUUGCGCAAUGGGCGAAAGCCUGACGCAGCGACGCCGCGUGGAGGAUGAAGGUCUUCGGAUUGUAAACUUCUGUUAAGUGGGAAGGAAGAUUUAUCCCUAAUAUGGAUAAAGGAUGACGGUACCAUUAGAGAAAGCACCGGCUAACUUCGUG
RNAcentral lists this ribosomal RNA (458 nucleotides) under uncultured bacterium. RNAcentral describes it as "bacterial SSU rRNA". It matches the Rfam family "Bacterial small subunit ribosomal RNA", at positions 49 to 507 of the family's 1533-position model. The record is from RNAcentral.